GCUUACGGCAUAUCAUGUUGGAAGCACCGGUUCUCGUUCGAUCACCGUAGUUAAGCAACAUCGAGCCUAGUUAGUACUUAGAUGGGUGACCGCUUGGGGAACUAGGUGCUGUAAGCA
This 117-nucleotide ribosomal RNA is filed under the name Octopus vulgaris (common octopus). The record is from RNAcentral. RNAcentral also lists the same sequence under 1 other name. Lineage: Eukaryota; Metazoa; Mollusca; Cephalopoda; Octopoda; Octopodidae.